Molecule: unclassified non-coding RNA, 1165 nt
Filed under: Hevea brasiliensis (rubber tree)
Lineage: Eukaryota; Viridiplantae; Streptophyta; Magnoliopsida; Malpighiales; Euphorbiaceae
Source: RNAcentral
GUUUUUUGAUUAAAACCGUUUGAUGCUCACCCCUAGAUUGGAGUAUUGUCAAGGAUACUGAACCAAUUUUCAUCACUUCAAUUCAUGUUUUCUUGGUUAAGGAAGAACAAGGAACCAUAAUAAUUUUGUUUUUGUUGUCUUUGUGUUAAGUUAUAGUUAGAUUUUAGACAAGGCAAAAAAGAUUUCUUGAUGACUACUCGCUUCUUGUUGAAAUUGCUUAAUUGGUUUUCGUCAUCCAUACUCUUUUUUGAAACAUUUAACCAUAAAUAAAGUGAAGAAAUUUCCCCAAUGGGGAGAUGGGAAGCCACUCAUGAAACUUGUAAUUGUACAUGAAUUGAAUCAAUUUUUUGACUGGGGAGAUAGGAAGCCAUUUGCGCCUGAUACUUGUUGUUAGUUUAACUUAAAUUAUCUAUGUUAUUACAUGUCCAGGUGUUAGGCUUGUCUAUUUUCCAAAUUUUUUUUUAUUGAUUUUCCCACUAAUUUGAUUAAUUGUCAUACCAUUGCCUAAGUAUCCUUAUUCAACACAGUUAUACUAGGGUAAAAUGAUGAGUUGAGAUGUUCAUCAUGUUGAAAAGCAUUUGUCUGCAUACAUGUUAUUGUGUCAAAGAUAUAUGCUUCCUUGUUUGCCUCUUAAUUGUCGUGAAAGCGAUGCGAACUCAUUGGACUUGCUAAAGAACCCACAAAAUAUUUGAAUCGACCCCAAGGAAUGCUCACAAUCAGGUUCUUCUAAUUAAUACUACUUAACCCAAUUUAAACUAUGCGAAAGAGAACCAAGUAGAUAAAUUAAUUAGGAAUUCAAAAGAUUCAAGACCAAAUACCAACUUGUGAUAGAAAACCAAGAAUAUCAGUGUAUUAAUCUUGCAAGCUAAAUCAACUUCUCUCAAUUGAUUUCAAUGUAUGUCAGAAUUGUUGAUUAAUUCCUAAAACGAGAAAAAUACAAGGUUUAUAUAGGUGGCUGUUAAAAGCCUAAGGCGUACAGCAUAUAAAACCCUAGAAACAUCAAAUUAAUUUCAAAAAAACCAAUCAAGGCUGUCCAAAAAUGAGGUGCGAACAUCGCACGUCGAGGAUGUGCGCCUCUCAUAAUUACACAGCCAGAGCGUAUUUCUCUUGGCAAGUAACAAUUCAAGGUGUUACGAAUAUUGCACGCCCACCUCCCAUUAUUACG